This 1242-nucleotide ribosomal RNA is filed under the name metagenome. RNAcentral's name for it is "bacterial LSU rRNA". It matches the Rfam family "Bacterial large subunit ribosomal RNA", at positions 1158 to 2386 of the family's 2925-position model. The record is from RNAcentral.
UGGGUNCCCAUGACAGAUCGGCUCAGGCUAACUAUGCACCGAAGCUGCGGAUUCAUCUUAGGAUGAGUGGUAGGGGAGCGUUCUGUAAGCCGUUGAAGGUGUGCCGGGAGGCAUGCUGGAGGUAUCAGAAGUGCGAAUGCUGACAUGAGUAACGAUAAUGGGAGUGAAAAACUCCCACGCCGGAAGACCAAGGGUUCCUAUCCCAUGUUAAUCAGGGUAGGGUAAGUCGACCCCUAAGGCGAGGCCGAAAGGCGUAGUCGAUGGGAAACAGAUUAAUAUUUCUGUACUCGAUAUAAUUGCGAUGGGGGGACGGAGCAGGCUAAGCAAGCAUGGCGUUGGUAGUCCAUGUGAAAGUGAGUAGGGCGUUUGUUUAGGUAAAUCCGGACGAACACUAAACCUGAGACACGAGACGAGUCACCACGGUGAUGAAGUUGCUGAUGCCAUACUUCCAGGAAAAGCCUCUAAGCUUCAGAUUAUAUGGAAUCGUACCCCAAACCGACACAGGUGGUCAGGUAGAGAAUACUAAGGCGCUUGAGAGAACUCGGGUGAAGGAACUAGGCAAAAUCGUACCGUAACUUCGGGAGAAGGUACGCUCCUAUCUGUGAUGAGACUUGCUCUCUAAGCGGACGGGAGCCGCAGUGACCAGGUGGCUGGGACUGUUUAUUAAAAACACAGCACUGUGCAAAAUCGCAAGAUGACGUAUACGGUGUGACACCUGCCCGGUGCCGGAAGGUUAAUUGAUGGGGUUAUCCUUAGGGAGAAGCUCUUGAUCGAAGCCCGGUAAACGGCGGCCGUAACUAUAACGGUCCUAAGGUAGCGAAAAUCCUUGUCGGGUAAGUUCGACCUGCACGAAUGGUGUAACCAUGGCCACGCUGUCUCCACCCGAGACUCAGUGAAAAUGAAAUCGCAGUGAAGAUGCUGUGUACCCGCGGCUAGACGGAAAGACCCCGUGAAACUUUACUACAGCUGGGCACUGGACAAUGAACCUACAUGUGUAGGAUAGGUGGAAGACUUUGAGAAUAAAACCUUGUUUUGUUGGAAUCAACCCUGAAAUACCACCCUUGAAAUUUUGAAGGUUCUAACGUUGGCCCCUGAAUCGNGGUUACCGAAAAGGCCCUGGGGGGAAAUUUAACUGGGCGCGCCCUCCUCCUAAAAAAAACGAAAGACCCCAAAGGUUGGCUAAAACGGCCGGAAAUCUUACGGGUUGGGUAUAGGUAAAAACCCUUUAAUGUGGAAAAAACA